Molecule: ribosomal RNA, 253 nt
Filed under: uncultured bacterium
Lineage: Bacteria
Description: partial 16S ribosomal RNA
Rfam family: Archaeal small subunit ribosomal RNA
Source: RNAcentral
UACCCACAGCACAAGUGGUGGUCAUUAUUAUUGGGCCUAAAGCGUCCGUAGCUGGCCUGUUAGAUGCCUGGGUAAAUCGAUGCGCUUAACGUAUCGAAUUCCGGGUAGACCGGCAGGCUCGAGACCGGGAGAGGUGUAGGCUACUCGGGGGGUAGGGGUAAAAUCCUGUAAUCCUCCGGGGAGGACCAGUGGCGAAGGCGCUACACUAGAACGGCUCUGACAGUGAGGGACGAAGCCCUGGGGCGCAAACCGG